UACGUAGGUGGCGAGCGUUGUCCGGAAUUAUUGGGCGUAAAGAGCGCGUAGGCGGCUUGUCAGGUCCGACGUGAAAUCCCGGGGCUCAACCCCGGACGUGCAUCGGAAACCGGCUUGCUAGAGUCUGGGAGAGGGAAGUAGAAUUCCUGGUGUAGCGGUGAAAUGCGCAGAUAUCAGGAGGAACACCGGUAGCGAAGGCUGCUUCCUGGAACAGUACUGACGCUGAGGCGCGAAAGCUAGGGGAGCAAACAGG
This 253-nucleotide ribosomal RNA is filed under the name uncultured microorganism. RNAcentral's name for it is "partial small subunit ribosomal RNA". It matches the Rfam family "Bacterial small subunit ribosomal RNA", at positions 524 to 776 of the family's 1533-position model. The record is from RNAcentral.